AAAAAGGGGGAAUCUCCAUCAUUCAUAUGAUUAUUACAGCUUACUACAAGCAGAGAACCCAACUCAAAAACUCUCCAUAAAUGCAAUAACUUGAGCUAUCAACAUUAAUCAACAUCAACGCACAUCCAAAAAUUGCUAGCACAACCAAUACAAAAACGUUUUAAAAACCUAAAUUUACUUUGUCGAUCUAAAGGGGAUGAAACAAAAAUUAAAUUAAAAUUGAAAUCAGAUGUGCUUCAGUAUUAAGUCCUCUUUCCUUCUACCAAGGUCAUGCCAAAGUGAAUCAGAGAAGAUUUCUUAAAAUUGGAGAAUUUUGUUAAAUCUGUUGAGAACUUCUGAAAUCUUCAUUCUAAUGGAGGGUGCCGAGAAAGAGAG
Molecule: unclassified non-coding RNA, 375 nt
Filed under: Hevea brasiliensis (rubber tree)
Lineage: Eukaryota; Viridiplantae; Streptophyta; Magnoliopsida; Malpighiales; Euphorbiaceae
Source: RNAcentral